Molecule: long non-coding RNA, 2269 nt
Organism: Lagopus leucura (white-tailed ptarmigan)
Lineage: Eukaryota; Metazoa; Chordata; Aves; Galliformes; Phasianidae
Exons: 4
Source: RefSeq, a predicted model, not a curated record
UUUAACUUCAAACUUAUAAAUAGCAUUGAUUAUAUCCCUAAUGCUCCUUUGUGUCAUUGUUAGUGCGACAUGCCCAGGCUGCAGCCCCUGAAUCUGUGGGGCAGUGCCUUCAUUACUGUACUGUAUUCAACAGGUGGCAGCUGAGAGCUGUGGGGCUCCCGAGGGCCCUAACAGCUGCAAGGAGAGGUGUGGCUCUUCACAGGAACAGCGCAAAAUGAAAAUCUGCAUUUCCUGGAACGUCCCGGAACCCCACUUUGCUGACUGGUAAUCGUCUGCCCAACAGGUGGCAGCGGAGCUGCAGCUCUCCCGAGUGUUGUAACGACUGCGCAGAGAUGUGUGGCUCUUCACGGCAGCAGCAAGGAACCCGAAUCUGCAUUUCCUGGAAUGCUCCAGAACCUCGCUUUUCUGGCUGGUAACUGUCUGCCCAGCAGGUGGCAGCAGAGCUGCGGCGCUCCUGAGAGCUUUAACGACAAGCACGGAGAUGUGUGGCUCUUCACGGGAACAGCAAGGAACCAGAAUCUGCAUUUCCUGGAAUGUCCCGGAACCCCACUUUGCUGACUGGUAACUGUCUGCCCAGCAGGUGAAGAUGCCUUUGACACUUCCAGUUGAUGACUUCCCCCCGGGACACCAUCGUCUUUCCAGCCCUCCCACACUCACUGCAAGCUCGGUUCGGUCGAGCCAUUACCCGAAUCCCCAGUCCAUUCCCUUUUCAUGAUCCUCCCGUCACUCUGCCACAAGCCCCUACCACCUCCCAAAGUCGUCGCAGGCAACGUGUGGGAUGCAGCACUCAGUCUCAUCCCACUCAGUUCAUCCCAUCAGCCUCAGCCCAGCGAUCCAACCCACCCACACCCUUCCUUAGGGCCCUUCUACUCCCAGGCCAAUCAACGCUUCCUUCUGAUGCCGUCUGCAUUCUAUCCUGGCUGCUUUAAGACUCGUGCCCCUUUGUGGCCAUUUUGAGAGUUGCGCUGACUUCAGCGUGUGCAUUCAAUUUAUUUCAACCAAAUCGGCUUCAAUUUUACAUUCAAUUAAUGUAAACCAAAUUGGCUUUAAGUUUGCCUUGCUUACGGGGUUGGGUUAGCCUUGCUUUGUUUGUUCCUAGGCAGGGCUAACCCAACCCCGUAACCAACGCCUGAGGGCUGUCGGAGGUGAUUUCUUUUCCUUCCCCGCCAGUCUGAAACUUGCGCCCCGUUGAGGCCAUUUGAAGAGUUGCGCUGAUUUCGGCGUCUGCACUCAAUUUAUUUCAACCAAAUUGGCUUUAGCCUUGCAGUCAUUUCGCAUCAACCAAAUUGGCUUUGGCUUUGCAUUCAACUUAUUUCAACCAAAUUGGCUUCAGUUUUAAAUUCGAUUCAUAUAAACCAAAUUGGCUUUAGUUUUACACUCAAUUAGUGUAAACCAAAUUGGCUUUAAGUUUGCAUUGCUUACGGGGUUGGGUUAGCCUUGCUUUGUUUGUUCCUAGGCAGGGCUAACCCAACCCCGUAACCAAGGGCCGUUGGAGGCCAUUUGUGUUCCUUCCCGGCCAGUCUGAAACUUGCGCCCCAUUGCGGCCAUUUGAAGAGUUGCGCUGAUUUCGGCGUCUGCACUCAAUUUAUUUCAACCAAAUUGGCUUUAGCCUUGCAGUCAUUUCGCAUCAACCAAAUUGGCUUUGGCUUUGCAUUCAACUUAUUUCAACCAAAUUGGCUUCAGUUUUAAAUUCGAUUCAUGUAAACCAAAUUGGCUUUAGUUUUACACUCAAUUAGUGUAAACUAAAUUGGCUUUAAGUUAGCAUUGCUUACGGGGUUGGGUUAGCCUUGCUUUGUUUGUUCCUAGGCAGGGCUAACCCAACCCCGUAACCAAGGGCCGUUGGAGGCCAUUUGUGUUCCUUCCCGGCCAGUCUGAGACUCGUGCCCCUUUGUGGCCAUUCUGAGAGUUGCAAUUUCUUUGGAUGGGCUGAGAUCUGCUCUGCUCUUGAGAUGGGUUGCAGUAUACAACAUUUUCACAAAUGUGAUGUGAGUAAUGGGGUAUGGAGGCUUUGUGCCCUUUCUCUGGUUGGUCUGACAUCUAUGUGAACUCUGUGUUACAACUGUGCUGAAUAUGUGUGUACUGCACCUGUAAAUUGCGUCGUGCCCUAUAUGCAAUGUGUGUUAUGUUGCGCCUCUAAACUGUGUUGUGCCAUGUACAGAAUGUAUGGAUGCUGUGCCUAUAAACUAAGUCUUGGAAUGAGAGACCUGUACUCAUUACAUGUUCUGCUUCUCAAGGUGUAGUUGCUGGUAUAGUGUAUAUGUAUAUGAAU